UAAUGGCUCACCAAGGCGACGAUCCCUAGCUGGUCUGAGAGGAUGAUCAGCCACACUGGAACUGAGACACGGUCCAGACUCCUACGGGAGGCAGCAGUGGGGAAUAUUGCACAAUGGGCGCAAGCCUGAUGCAGCCAUGCCGCGUGUGUGAAGAAGGCCUUCGGGUUGUAAAGCACUUUCAGUCGUGAGGAAGGUGGUANUGUUAAUAGCACUAUCAUUUGACGUUAGCGACAGAAGAAGCACCGGCUAACUCCGUGCCAGCAGCCGCGGUAAUACGGAGGGUGCGAGCGUUAAUCGGAAUUACUGGGCGUAAAGCGCAUGCAGGUGGUUUGUUAAGUCAGAUGUGAAAGCCCGGGGCUCAACCUCGGAAUAGCAUUUGAAACUGGCAGACUAGAGUACUGUAGAGGGGGGUAGAAUUUCAGGUGU
Molecule: ribosomal RNA, 426 nt
Filed under: Vibrio sp. R-600
Lineage: Bacteria; Pseudomonadati; Pseudomonadota; Gammaproteobacteria; Vibrionales; Vibrionaceae
Also listed under: 1 other name
Description: bacterial SSU rRNA
Rfam family: Bacterial small subunit ribosomal RNA
Source: RNAcentral